RNAcentral lists this ribosomal RNA (292 nucleotides) under uncultured bacterium. RNAcentral's name for it is "partial 16S ribosomal RNA". It matches the Rfam family "Bacterial small subunit ribosomal RNA", at positions 505 to 796 of the family's 1533-position model. The record is from RNAcentral.
GUGUCAGCAGCCGCGGUAAUACGUAGGGGGCCAGCGUUGCUCGGAAUUACUGGGCGUAAAGGGUUCGUAGGCGGUGUGGCAAGUCGGAAGUGAAAUCUCUGGGCUCAACCCAGAGGCUGCUCCCGAAACUGCCAUGCUAGAGUGUGGGAGAGGCGAGUGGAAUUACAGGUGUAGCGGUGAAAUGCGUAGAUAUCGGGAGGAACACCUGUGGCGAAAGCGGCGCACUGGACCACUACUGACGCUGAUGCGCGAAAGCUAGGGGAGCAAACAGGAUUAGAUACCCUAGUAGUCC